RNAcentral lists this unclassified non-coding RNA (206 nucleotides) under plant metagenome. RNAcentral's name for it is "partial contains small subunit ribosomal RNA, internal transcribed spacer 1, and 5.8S ribosomal RNA". The record is from RNAcentral.
UUUCCGUAGGUGAACCUGCGGAAGGAUCAUUAGUGAAGAGGUUGGUGUUUGGUGGGGUAAGUCUAGGGUGUUUGCACACUCUACUUUUCCAUUACAACAACAAUUUGUUCGGUGCAGCAAUGCAUCGCUACACUUGCGUUUUAUAUGUUUGUCAGAGUAAAAUAAGAUUAAACAGACAACUUUUAACAAUGGAUCUCUUGGCUCUU